GUGUUGGUGUAGUGUACUCAGGUGAAUAUGAUAUUUGUGGUGUUACUCUGAGUGUAUAUCCGCACCGGGCGAGCUUGAAAAAUAUGCCCGGCCACGGUGGGAUUCGAACCUACGACCUUUGGAAUACUAGCCCAAUGCUCUUCCAACUGAGCUACGCGGUCAGGACGGUUCGAGUAAGUGAUAUUUCGGAACAGGAUCCAGUUCCUUCGAUACCAGUGUAUUCUAUUAAUAUGAUUUUUUCUGUGUUGGUGUAGUGUACUCAGGUGAAUAUGAUAUUUGUGGUGUUACUCUGAGUGUAUAUCCGCACCGGGCGAGCUUGAAAAAUAUGCCCGGCCACGGUGGGAUUCGAACCUACGACCUUUGGAAUACUAGCCCAAUGCUCUUCCAACUGAGCUACGCGGUCAGGACGGUUCGAGUAAGUGAUAUUUCGGAACAGGAUCCAGUUCCUUCGAUACCAGUGUAUUCUAU
Non-coding RNA from Paramuricea clavata, 468 nucleotides. The record is from the annotation of a GenBank genome assembly. Lineage: Eukaryota; Metazoa; Cnidaria; Anthozoa; Malacalcyonacea; Plexauridae.